RNAcentral lists this ribosomal RNA (457 nucleotides) under uncultured Pelotomaculum sp. Its description in RNAcentral is "bacterial SSU rRNA". It matches the Rfam family "Bacterial small subunit ribosomal RNA", at positions 925 to 1382 of the family's 1533-position model. The record is from RNAcentral. Lineage: Bacteria; Bacillati; Bacillota; Clostridia; Eubacteriales; Desulfotomaculaceae.
ACAAGCGGUGGAGCAUGUGGUUUAAUUCGACGCAACGCGAAGAACUUACCAGGGCUUGACAUCCCCUGACCGCGUAUGAAAGUACGUUUUCACCUCGGGUGACAGGGAGACAGGUGGUGCAUGGUUGUCGUCAGCUCGUGUCGUGAGAUGUUGGGUUAAGUCCCGCAACGAGCGCAACCCCUACGUUUAGUUGCUAACGCGUGAAGGCGAGCACUCUAGACGAACUGCCGUUGACAAAACGGAGGAAGGUGGGAUGACGUCAAAUCAUCAUGCCCCUUAUGUUCUGGGCUACACACGUGCUACAAUGGCCGGUACAGACGGACGCAAAGCCGCGAGGUGGAGCAAAUCCUAAAAAGCCGGUCUCAGUUCGGAUUGCAGGCUGCAAUUCGCCUGCAUGAAGUCGGAAUCGCUAGUAAUCGCAGGUCAGCAUACUGCGGUGAAUACGUUCCCGGGCCUU